This 1209-nucleotide unclassified non-coding RNA is filed under the name Hevea brasiliensis (rubber tree). The record is from RNAcentral. Lineage: Eukaryota; Viridiplantae; Streptophyta; Magnoliopsida; Malpighiales; Euphorbiaceae.
UGACUGGAGCAACUGUAGUAUUCUUUGCGUAUGUUGGGUUUGAUGCAGUUGCUAAUUCUGCGGAAGAGUCUAAAAGCCCACAAAGAGACUUGCCGUUGGGCAUAAUCGGGAGCCUGCUUAUUUGUAUUGCAUUAUAUGUUGGAGUCUGCUUGGUGCUCACUGGGAUGCUUCCAUACAAGUCACUUGGUGGGGAUGCUCCCCUGGCUGAUGCUUUUACAUCAAAGGGCUUGCAAUAUGUGUCUGUAUUAAUUAGCAUUGGCGCUAUUGCUGGACUUACUACCACUCUCCUGGUUGGGCUUUAUGUACAGUCCCGUCUAUAUCUUGGCCUUGGAAGAGACGGUUUGUUACCAUCACUGUUUGGUGAAGUACAUCAAACUCGACACACUCCUGUUCAUUCACAAAUUUGGGUUGGAAUUGUUGCCAGUGUCUUAGCAGGAUGCUUUAAUGUGCACAUUCUCUCGCACAUUCUCUCAGUAGGAACCCUGACAGGAUAUUCUGUUGUUUCAGCAUGUGUUGUGACUCUUCGCUGGAAGGAUAAGACUGCCUGUCAGGUGUUUGGCAAGUCUAUUUCUAGCAGGGCAGAAGGCCUCAUGUGCCUCAUUACAGUUGUCUGUUGCGGGUUUGCUGCAGGAGUCUUUUACCGUUUUGGAGCUUCACUUAUAUUCGUGAUCAUAGCUGUAUUUAUUGCAAUCUUGGCAGCUGCUGCUCUUCAUUUCCGUCAAGUUAAUACUAGUACACCAGGAUUUUCUUGCCCAGGAGUCCCCAUUCUGCCUACGGUUUGCAUCUUCAUCAAUAUUUUUCUGUUUGCCCAGUUGCAUUAUGAAGCAUGGGUGAGAUUUGUUGUUCUCAGCAUUGUUACAGUUGGGAUGUAUGCAGUAUACGGGCAAUAUCAUGCCAAUCCUCUAAGUUCAAACACAUUAAUCAUUUACCAAAAAGCACCUACAGAAGCUGAUUAAUGAAACCUCCUAAUGGUUCUUACUGAACCUAGACUAUAAUUUUAUCAACUGUAAGUAUCUUGACGCUUUUCUUUCCAAUAAAAGCUACACACAAUUGUAUUCGUCAGGAGUUGUUGUAUCAUGGUGCGUAUAUAUGUAAAGUUAUUUUGUAAUCUUACAACUUAGUGUUGUAGUUGAAAGCCUGGUGCUGUUUUGAAUAACUACACUGUAAUUGUACAACACCAUUUCCCUGGUGGAUUUCAAUAGAACUUUG